This 247-nucleotide ribosomal RNA is filed under the name uncultured bacterium. Its description in RNAcentral is "partial 16S ribosomal RNA". It matches the Rfam family "Bacterial small subunit ribosomal RNA", at positions 523 to 769 of the family's 1533-position model. The record is from RNAcentral.
AUACGUAGGGAGCAAGCGUUGUCCGGAUUUACUGGGUGUAAAGGGCGUGUAGGCGGAGUGAUAAGUAAGAUGUGUAAUCUGGUGGCUCAACCACCAAACUGCAUUUUAAACUGUCACCCUUGAGUAUCGGAGAGGCAGGCGGAAUUCCUAGUGUAGCGGUGAAAUGCGUAGAUAUUAGGAGGAACACCAGUGGCGAAGGCGGCCUGCUGGACGACAACUGACGCUGAGGCGCGAAAGCGUGGGGAGC